Long non-coding RNA from Etheostoma cragini (Arkansas darter), 78 nucleotides. RefSeq lists it as uncharacterized. The transcript is spliced from 3 exons. The record is from RefSeq and is a predicted model, not a curated record. Lineage: Eukaryota; Metazoa; Chordata; Actinopteri; Perciformes; Percidae.
CUCAAUGCCAAAUAUGUGGUAUCAAGAUAAAGCAUUCUGGCUCAACCACAUCUCAUUUCAUCAGGCACCUGUAAACAC